This 649-nucleotide ribosomal RNA is filed under the name Umbelopsis sp. RNAcentral's name for it is "LSU rRNA". It matches the Rfam family "Eukaryotic large subunit ribosomal RNA", at positions 76 to 648 of the family's 3401-position model. Lineage: Eukaryota; Fungi; Mucoromycota; Umbelopsidomycetes; Umbelopsidales; Umbelopsidaceae. The record is from RNAcentral.
UCCCCUAGUAACGGCGAGUGAAGCGGGAAGAGCUCAAAUUUAAAAUCUGGCUUGCUUGCAAGUCCGAGUUGUAGUCUGAAGAAGCGUUUUCCAUGAAAGCUGAGGCACAAGUCCUUUGGAACAGGGCAUCAUAGAGGGUGAGAAUCCCGUCCAUGGUCUCAUGCAUUUCAUUUUGUGAUACGUUUUCUAAGAGUCAGGUUGUUUGGGAAUGCAGCCUAAAAUGGGUGGUAAAUUUCAUCUAAAGCUAAAUAUUGGCGAGAGACCGAUAGCGAACAAGUACCGUGAGGGAAAGAUGAAAAGAACUUUGAAAAGAGAGUUAAAAAGUACGUGAAAUUGUUGAAAGGGAACCGUUUGAAGCCAGUCUUGCUUACUUGUGAUCAAUCUUAGCUUCGGCUUGGAUGCACUCUCAAGUUAUGCAGGUCAACGUCAGUUUGAGAGGUGGGAAAAAAGUUUGAGGAAUGUGGCCUUCGGGUGUUAUAGCCUCUUACUAAAUACCAUCUCCUGGACUGAGGCUCGCAGCAAAAAUGUGGGCUGGUUUGCUCCUGAGGUGAAUCAUUAUUAAGACAGCUUGCUGACUUAGUUUUGUGGAUCUUCACGGUAGGCUAGCUUCUAAUUUGCUUAGGUCGUUGACAUAAUGGCUUUAAAUGAC